AGGGCACCACCAGGAGUGGAGCCUGCGGCUUAAUUUGACUCAACACGGGAAAACUCACCCGGCCCGGACACUGGAAGGAUUGACAGAUUGAGAGCUCUUUCUUGAUUCAGUGGGUGGUGGUGCAUGGCCGUUCUUAGUUGGUGGAGUGAUUUGUCUGGUUAAUUCCGAUAACGAACGAGACUCUAGCCUAUUAAAUAGAUCGUUGGCUUACAAACGCCGGCGAGACUUCUUAGAGGGACAGGCGGCGAUUCAGCCGCACGAAACAGAGCAAUAACAGGUCUGUGAUGCCCUUAGAUGUCCGGGGCCGCACGCGCGCUACACUGAGGUGAUCAGCGUGCAUUUUGAAACCUACUCUGUCAAGAGUGGGGAACCCAAUGAACCUUCUUCGUGAUUGGGAUAGGGGAUUGUAAUUAUUCUCCUUGAACGAGGAAUUCCCAGUAAGCGCGAAUCAUAAGUUUGCGCUGAUUACGUCCCUGCCCUUUGUACACACCGCCCGUCGCUACUACCGAUUGAAUGUUU
Molecule: ribosomal RNA, 519 nt
Filed under: uncultured eukaryote
Lineage: Eukaryota
Description: SSU rRNA
Rfam family: Eukaryotic small subunit ribosomal RNA
Source: RNAcentral